GGUGAGUAACACGUGGGAACGUACCCUUCGGUUCGGAAUAACUCAGGGAAACUUGAGCUAAUACCGGAUACGCCCUUUUGGGGAAAGGUUUACUGCCGAAGGAUCGGCCCGCGUCUGAUUAGCUAGUUGGUGGGGUAACGGCCUACCAAGGCGACGAUCAGUAGCUGGUCUGAGAGGAUGAUCAGCCACACUGGGACUGAGACACGGCCCAGACUCCUACGGGAGGCAGCAGUGGGGAAUAUUGGACAAUGGGCGCAAGCCUGAUCCAGCCAUGCCGCGUGAGUGAUGAAGGCCUUAGGGUUGUAAAGCUCUUUUGUCCGGGACGAUAAUGACGGUACCGGAAGAAUAAGCCCCGGCUAACUUCGUGCCAGCAGCCGCGGUAAUACGAAGGGGGCUAGCGUUGCUCGGAAUCACUGGGCGUAAAGGGCGCGUAGGCGGCUUUUUAAGUCGGGGGUGAAAGCCUGUGGCUCAACCACAGAAUUGCCUUCGAUACUGGAAAGCUUGAGACCGGAAGAGGACAGCGGAACUGCGAGUGUAGAGGUGAAAUUCGUAGAUAUUCGCAAGAACACCAGUGGCGAAGGCGGCUGUCUGGUCCGGUUCUGACGCUGAGGCGCGAAAGC
This 620-nucleotide ribosomal RNA is filed under the name Methylobacterium sp. I12B-00816. RNAcentral's name for it is "bacterial SSU rRNA". It matches the Rfam family "Bacterial small subunit ribosomal RNA", at positions 105 to 760 of the family's 1533-position model. Lineage: Bacteria; Pseudomonadati; Pseudomonadota; Alphaproteobacteria; Hyphomicrobiales; Methylobacteriaceae. The record is from RNAcentral.